CCCUGAUUUUGGGAAGCAGAGUCCCAGGUUGGAUUCCAUGAUCUCCCAACUCUUCCAACCCUCUUCAUCCUUUAAUUCCCUGAUUUUGGGAAGCAGAGUCCCAGGUUGGAUUCCAUGAUCUCCCAACUCUUCCAACCCUCUUCAUCCUUUAAUUCCCUGAUUUUGGGAAUCAGCGUCCCAGGUUGCUCUCUGUGAUCUCCCAUCCUGGUUCCUCCUUUAAUUCCCUGAUUUCGGGAAGCAGAGUCCCAGGUUGCUCUCUGGGAUCUCCCAUCCCGGUUCCUCCCUGAAUUCCCUGAUUUCGGGAAUGCCUCAGCCCAGCAGAGGGCACUGGUGCCUCUCCCACGGCCCCGAUCCCACCCACCUUUUCCCGGUUGUGGAUGGUCCCGCGGAUCGGCGUCAUUUACAGCCGUCAUUUGCAGCCAUCAUUUAUUUAUUUACAGCCGUCAUUUACAGCCAUCAUUCAUUUACAGCCGUCAUUUACAGCCAUCACCACCCGCGCCGCUAUCGGAGCCGCCACGCUCCUUCCCGGGGCAGAUAAAAACCCCGCUAAUACCUAAUUAGCCAUUUCUAAUUAGCCGGGCAAAUUGGAUUGUCUUAAAUAACCGGGAGAAGCCGAGCCAGGCAAAGAGAGAGAGAUCAAUCCCUCUCCACAUUCCUGCUGGAAUUCCAACCCACCCCCUGUAAUUGCCACUCUUAAUCAAUUUUCCCAAAUUCCAUCAGAGCUUUUAUUCCUUGGGCUGGCAAAUUUCUCCUUUCUCCUUCUUUUAUUAUUAUUUUUUUUUA
Long non-coding RNA from Myiozetetes cayanensis, 783 nucleotides. RefSeq lists it as uncharacterized. The transcript has 3 exons. Lineage: Eukaryota; Metazoa; Chordata; Aves; Passeriformes; Tyrannidae. The record is from RefSeq and is a predicted model, not a curated record.